GGUUCCAUAGUUCAAUGGAUAGAAUAAGUCUCUCCUAAAGAUUAGAUUCGGGUUCGAUUCCCGAUGGAACCA
RNAcentral lists this transfer RNA (72 nucleotides) under Prevotella sp. RNAcentral describes it as "tRNA-Arg". It matches the Rfam family "tRNA". From Rfam's summary of the family: Transfer RNA (tRNA) molecules are approximately 80 nucleotides in length. Their secondary structure includes four short double-helical elements and three loops (D, anti-codon, and T loops). RNAcentral also lists the same sequence under 1 other name. Lineage: Bacteria; Pseudomonadati; Bacteroidota; Bacteroidia; Bacteroidales; Prevotellaceae. The record is from RNAcentral.